AGUAGUCGCGCGCUUUGUGGCCGGACGCGGGUCGCGGGCGGUUCAUUAGCAGGUGUGACCGGUUUGUUAUCACCGACUUGACAAGCUUGUGAUAAGCGACGCGGGAAGACCCCGCACUGCCAGGUGGAAUUUUUAAUGACUAAUCCUUAUUUGUAUCGAUUUGUUUGCAACAAAUUCAAUUAUCGUAGUUGCGAUCUGGCGCCGCCAUCGCCCCGGAUAGUUUUGCCGCGAAGUGGUCCCGCCUUUUAAGAUGUAGGUCCUGUGAUGUUUCUUACAUGAAAUGAAAUGUGUCAAAUUUUACAAUUUUUAAUAAGCAUUUAGUGAACAGUAUCAUAAUAAACUGAAAGUGAGGUCUCAAAAAAGCGUUGUUCAACGAGUCGCCCUUUCAACUACUUUUUGACUUUAUUUUAUUUCGUUCACACAGGAACCCUCGCCCUCUUUCCCUGUACGUACCAAUAAUACCAAGCGCAUUAUUGUUAACUAUGUGAUAAAAUAAUUUCCCCAAUAAACUUUUGUAGCAGGAGAGACCACGCGAAACGACAUAGCUUCAAGGUCAAGCAAAUCGUAUCGGAACCCUAAAGGUUAAGUGAUGUCGUAAUGUCAUAUAGUUUUUUGCGUUAACACAUACCUAAACAUAAAAACUUUAAUUUCGUUUAAAGGUGAAAUCUAUACUGAUACUUAAUACUUAAUAUUAUAAAGAGGAAAGAUUGGUUUGUUUGUUUGUAUUGAAUAGGCUCUGAAACUACUGAACCGAUUUGAAAAAUUAUUUCACUGUUUGGAAGCUACACUAUUCCCGAAUGACAUAGGAUAUAGUCUUUUUUGAAAAAAAUUAGGUAUCCGUACUAAAACUCCAAUAAUGUAACCCAAGGUGUAAAAAAAAUACCAAAAUUAUUCAUUACAUCGCGUGCCCUGCGAAAACUAUUGAUGAUAGAAUAAAAUAAUGUACUACGACUUUAUUAUAAUUUACAAAAAGUGUCGCAACAGCAUAUAUCUAACUAUUAUGCCACAAUAAGUGUUCUUUUUUUUUAGAAAAUAAAAGAAAGUCAAAUAUCGUUGAAAUUUUUGUUAAAGACCCGAACGGAGCCGGAGCGGGCCGCUAGUUAUUAAUAAAACGAUUGUUGUUGAUUGAUGUUCUACAGGUUGUAGUUGUUGUGGCCAUUUCGUACUGAUUAUGUAACCAAACGGGGUCGGGCUUAAAGCAGUGGACUGUAGUGUUUUUGAACUAUGUUAUGCAUUUUUUUUUAUUGCUUAUAUGGGUGGACGAGCUCACAGCCCACCUGGUGUUAAGUGGUUACUGGAGCCCAUAGACAUCUACAACGUAAAUGCGCCACCCACCUUGAAAUAUAAGUUCUAAGGUCUCAAGUAUAGUUACAACCGCUGCCCCACCCUUCAAAGCGAAACGCAUUACUGCUUCACGGCAGAAAUAAGCAGGGCGGUGGUACCUACCCGCGCGGACUCACAAGACGUCCUACCACCAGUAAUUACGCAAAUUAUAAUUUUGCGGGUGAUGUCCGACACGCCCCGCGUCUGUCUCAGCCCUCAGCGGUCCUAGUUCGAAGAGGAGAGCUGGUCGUGGGAUCCAAGAACAGCUUCAAUAAGCUCAUCAAGUUUGUCCUCGUUAUGUUAAUGACUUUUUUAAGUAACACCGUAUGAAACUUUUUUGGCUGUUCAAACUACAUUACGCUUUCUUAUUAACUACACAAUUAUUUUCAACAAAUAUAUAAAGUAGUACAAUAUACACCUGGGCCAGUAAUCAACAAAUAUUGAUUUUUUUGUUCGUGAACAAAAUCUUCAAUUCGUCAAUUGUAGAUACAAUUGUAUUUACUUACAGUUCCAUGUGCACAGUAAGUAUGUCAAUGUUUAAUUACAGAUUUUUUCACAAUAUUGGUUACUCUUCCAUCGUUUUCUCGUGAUAGCAUACCUAUAUAGUCCGUUUAUAUGUCCAGAGUCUGGUGUAUUACCUUGAGCCUGCCACAUGUAAUACUUCGCGAUAUUUCUGUGCAUUCUCGUAGGAUGAUUGCUUUAAGAGAGGUCAGAUAUUCGGUUGGUACUGUAGGACGGCUGUCUUGUAGAAAUAGUUUAGCUUGAGAAUUUCUUGUUUUUAAGAUCAUUAUGCCUAAAUUGUUAAUCCACAAUUAAAUUUUUUCAAUUACAUUUUCAUAUUUUCUUGAAUAACGUGUUCAGGUAUAAGCACAGUGGCUCGAAUCGAAAUACUGAUUGACAUUAGCGGAAAAGUCAAAUAUUUUCAUGUAUUUCCCCGUUCAUUACUUAUUUAUAAUCAGUCACUGUUCUCAGGAGGAUAAUAGACGAUAAUCGCGACGUUGCGCGACUCUGUGGGACGCAUCCGAACAAAACGAAGGAAAAUAUCGUUACAAAAUCACUAAUCAAAUAAUAGAUCAGCUUGUUCGCGAUUUCCAUGAACGAGGGGAAAGCCCGAGCAUAAUUAAAAUGCAAAUUUUCCGCCUUCACUACUCACGUAAGCAAUAACACAGGAGGAGUACUUGGAUGAUUAAAGAGACCCAGAGACGGACGGCGAAAACCUUAUUGAAUCUAAUACAACAAUCUCGACAAUGGUCUCAUCAUUGAACUCAUUGCCGACCCCACUUAGUUGGCGAGCCCAGGACUGGCCACUGUAUAUGUACAUUAUAUGGAUGUUUUUUGGAAAAAUCGCAAACUGCCAAACACUAAAGAAUCUAAAUAAAUAACUAAAUCACUAAUAAAUAGAUAUAUAUAUAUAUAGAUAAAAUAAUAAUCAAGUACGAGCAUUAUAUACACAGUAAUAUUUUUUUAAUUAUUUUAACGUAUUCAUUGAGGGUUCAAUUCAAGGAAUAAAAGCUAAGAGUCUCGGCUGCGACAGUGACGUGGACUUUAUCAUUGUAAUAAUAUCAUGUCUGUGAAAAAAUAGACGACUAAUAAUGUAGAACAUUGUAUCCGGUACUGUGGAACCUAUAAUUUAAUUGUUCUAUUUAUAAUUACGUAAAUAAAAAUAUUUAUGUUAAUAUCAUAAUUCAGUUAAUAUCAAUUAAUUAUCAAUUAAUCAAUUAAUAUCAAUUAAUAAAGUUAAUGUCAAUAUCAUAAUUAUUGAAUGAAAAAAACACCCUUUUUCUUUUUUUAUUGUUCAGAUGGAUGGACGAGCUCAUGAGCCAGUUGGUUUAUUAAAUUUGAACUUUAUUAAACUGACUUUAUUAAGACACUAACUAAAAAUCGUAACUUAAACUAUUUUAGUAAAUGUGAUAAGGGCAUUGCGGCGCCGACGUGCAAAGAAAUAUUUAAACCAUUUUACGAGUGACGAGCCUACGGCAUCGCGGCAUGUCGCACGAGGCACGUACGUAGCCGCGCAGCCACGGGUGCGUCGUCCACCGUCGUAUAAGAUUGGAAAGCCCAUAGUCUGCAUCGCAGCCGGGACAGAGCGAAGGUUGCGACCUUCGCAGUGACUCACUCAUCAAGCAAUGACGUAGGCACUACACGAAAGCUACGUAACACGCAGGGCCGCACUCAAUUGUACAUUGCUAUAACUUAUUGUGAUCUGUGACGUAAUGAAUCCACCAAACAAAGUGGGCCUCAUUGCUUAUGGGCAAGGAUGAGCUAAUACACCGUUCGCGGCCUACUAUAAACACUCUUUAGAACUUCUAUUGAAAGACAAGACAAGACGAAAAUGUAAAAGGAGAGUACUACUAGAAUUUAUUAAAUUACAACCAGAUAUCCGCUUUAACAAAUAAAAGGGACAAUAUUGAUUAACGUUCACCAACAAGACAGAAGCUCGCCUGAUAGACUGAUUGAGUCACACGCACAACAAAACCCUUUAUAGAGUUUAAAACAACAAUUGAGAGUGCCAUAUUGUGUAAGGCUAGGAGCAUAUUGUACGUACAUACAUACACAUUUGGUAUGAUGUUAAGUGAUUACCGAAGCCCGACGAGAUUGGUUUUAGACACGAGAUCCAAUCCUUAAUAUAAUACAUUAAGGAUUCGAUCUCGUGUUCAAGACGGCAUUCAAACUGGCUAGCCGAUCGAGCCUUUUAGAUCCGGAACCCACAAUAUUUCCAUAAAGCUUGGUAUGCAUGUGCCAUCUCUGGCCUGUCGACGGGUGUGAAGUAAUAAAAUAUAUUUGUGAAUUAACAUAAUCUAUUAGUACAGGUUUAAUAUGAUUAGUUAUUAAAUACAAGUCUUCAUUUAUAUUUGAUACUUCCUGUUCACAUAUAAGCUUAAACAGAGAUUUAGAGAUUCGUCUUUGAACAUUAAUAUUCGGUUAUCAUUAUAUUGUUUCUCUCGUUUUAAUAACAAUAAUCAUCAAUACUGUACAAUAUGGUUUGCUCCCAUUUUGUGUCUACAGAGCACCAUCUCAACAGAAAUAGAAACUGAUCUCACUUGCUUACUGAAGAAAACGUAUAGUUUAAAAUACUUAUUCGCCACCGAGAGCAAACCCAUGUGAUAAGAACUAGACACACACCGAUCAAGAAUACGAAACGAUAACACCGGAUCCUGGCCGGGGUCCGGCUCGGAUCGGGCCAGCGAUGUACCGCGACCCACGAGCACGCAAUCUACAGCGCAGUAGUCAGCGGACGUCGCCCCAGUCACAACGGCUCGACUGGGUUUCUGGCAUCCGCUUCGACCGAUUGAUCGCGGAGCGUCUAGAAUGUCUAGAUCGUUGAUGAAGACACCGACCGUGGAAAAAAUACUUUUACGGAAACUACAAAUUUCAAUGACAACGUCUGACGUUCACAAACCGAGUACAAGGCGCCGGCGGUCACUGCUAGCAGCGUGCUCGCAGUCACAGCUAAAACUUUGAGCUUCCCCGUGCAUGAAGGUCCACGUGUGUGUCCUGUACCGUCUGUACGUGUAACAGUUCAUUAACACUCGUUUUUUGCUUCAAUCAGUUCGCGACGUCGGAGUGAGGUCGCAGCGCACCGACGAUAGCUCCAUUUUUAUCGCACGGGUUGCGAGCUCGCACGGCACAGUCCGGCGGCUGGCCCCGGCUCGCCCCGGCGCGGCGGUGUCGCUGCGGUGCACUGACCUGCGGUGCAGCGCGCGUCGGUGCAGACGGGCCGCGCGCACCGCUCCCCGCCCCACCCCGCGCCGCACUCGCAGCGCAGCACGCCCGCACUCGACACGCGGCACGUGCCCUGCCACAACCACUACACGUCACACACUGCAACCGCGAUCGAGCCUACCUACCAGCUCCACUUCACACAUGACCAAUUGUAAAUCAAGUAAACUGAGACAUUAAAAUUCAUAUCUCAAGAUGGGUGGCGGCAUUCACUUUGUAGAACUGUCUAUGGGCUACGGUAACCACUUAACCGGUGGGCCGUGAACGCGUCCACCCAUACAAGCAAUAAAAAAUAAAAUAAAUUCUGAACAUUUUCCAAGUA
This is a long non-coding RNA of Bombyx mori (domestic silkworm), 5365 nucleotides long. RefSeq lists it as uncharacterized. The record is from RefSeq and is a predicted model, not a curated record. NCBI's taxonomy places the organism in Eukaryota, Metazoa, Arthropoda, Insecta, Lepidoptera, Bombycidae. The transcript has 3 exons.